RNAcentral lists this ribosomal RNA (492 nucleotides) under uncultured bacterium. RNAcentral describes it as "partial 16S ribosomal RNA". It matches the Rfam family "Bacterial small subunit ribosomal RNA", at positions 29 to 507 of the family's 1533-position model. The record is from RNAcentral.
AGUGAACGCUGGCGGUAGGCCUAACACAUGCAAGUCGAACGGCAGCACAGUAAGAGCUUGCUCUUACGGGUGGCGAGUGGCGGACGGGUGAGGAAUACAUCGGAAUCUACUUUUUCGUGGGGGAUAACGUAGGGAAACUUACGCUAAUACCGCAUACGACCUACGGGUGAAAGCAGGGGAUCUUCGGACCUUGCGCGAUUGAAUGAGCCGAUGUCGGAUUAGCUAGUUGGCGGGGUAAAGGCCCACCAAGGCGACGAUCCGUAGCUGGUCUGAGAGGAUGAGCUGCCACACUGGAACUGAGACACGGUCCAGACUCCUACGGGAGGCAGCAGUGGGGAAUAUUGGACAAUGGGCGCAAGCCUGAUCCAGCCAUACCGCGUGGGUGAAGAAGGCCUUCGGGUUGUAAAGCCCUUUUGUUGGGAAAGAAAAGCAGCAGGUUAAUACCCCGCUGUUCUGACGGUACCAAAAGAAUAAGCACCGGCUAACUUCGUG